This 102-nucleotide small nuclear RNA is filed under the name Aotus nancymaae (Ma's night monkey). The record is from RNAcentral. Lineage: Eukaryota; Metazoa; Chordata; Mammalia; Primates; Aotidae.
AUGCUUCAGCAGCAUAUACUUUAAAAUUGGAUCAAUAGAUAAGCAUAAGCAUGGCUGCUGCCUAAGGAUGGCACACAAAUUCAUAAAGCAUUGAUAUUUUGC